GAUGAACGCUGGCGGCGUGCCUAACACAUGCAAGUCGAACGGACUUUUCAUGAAGCCUAGCGAUUGAAAAGUUAGUGGCGGACGGGUGAGUAACGCGUGGGUAACCUGCCUUGUACUGGGGGAUAACAGUUAGAAAUGACUGCUAAUACCGCAUAAGCGCACAGGAUUGCAUGAUCUGGUGUGAAAAACUCCGGUGGUAUAAGAUGGACCCGCGUCUGAUUAGCUGGUUGGUGAGGUAACGGCCCACCAAGGCGACGAUCAGUAGCCGACCUGAGAGGGUGACCGGCCACAUUGGGACUGAGACACGGCCCAAACUCCUACGGGAGGCAGCAGUGGGGAAUAUUGCACAAUGGGGGAAACCCUGAUGCAGCGACGCCGCGUGAGCGAAGAAGUAUUUCGGUAUGUAAAGCUCUAUCAGCAGGGAAGAAAAAAAUGACGGUACCUGACUAAGAAGCCCCGGCUAACUACGUG
RNAcentral lists this ribosomal RNA (471 nucleotides) under uncultured bacterium. Its description in RNAcentral is "bacterial SSU rRNA". It matches the Rfam family "Bacterial small subunit ribosomal RNA", at positions 28 to 507 of the family's 1533-position model. The record is from RNAcentral.